CUAGACGAGAGCUUUUGAAGUCGU
This 24-nucleotide non-coding RNA is filed under the name Arabidopsis thaliana (thale cress). Lineage: Eukaryota; Viridiplantae; Streptophyta; Magnoliopsida; Brassicales; Brassicaceae. The record is from RNAcentral.